AGCUCCAAUAGCGUAUAUUAAAGUUGUUGCAGUUAAAAAGCUCGUAGUUGGAUUUGUAGCGUUUAAGCGGGCCGAGAGGAUGGUUGGACCUUUACGGUAUCCGGUUCUACGCUCUACGUUCGGCGGUUGAUUACUGGCCUUAACUGGCUGGUGAUUGGCUCCGGACCGUUUACCUUGAAUAAAUUAGAGUGUUCAAAGCAGGCUCUUUAGCCUUGAAUAGUUUAGCAUGGGAUAAUGGAAUACGAUCCCAGUCUAGUUCGUUGGUAAUCUGGACUGGGAUAAUGAUUAAUAGAGAUAGUCGGGGUUAUUCAUAUUCAAUUGUCAGAGGUGAAAUUCUUAGAUUCUUUGAAGAUGAACUGUAGCGAAAGCGUUUAACAAGGAUGCUCUCA
Molecule: ribosomal RNA, 389 nt
Filed under: uncultured eukaryote
Lineage: Eukaryota
Description: partial small subunit ribosomal RNA
Rfam family: Eukaryotic small subunit ribosomal RNA
Source: RNAcentral